RNAcentral lists this long non-coding RNA (1283 nucleotides) under Neogobius melanostomus (round goby). Its description in RNAcentral is "lncRNA (ENSNMLG00000018870.1)". The record is from RNAcentral. Lineage: Eukaryota; Metazoa; Chordata; Actinopteri; Gobiiformes; Gobiidae.
AUGGAGGCGCUGGGAUCGCCCGACAAGAGCGUGGACAAACCCAACGAGGCUCGGACCAGGCUGAAGAUCUCGUGGCCUCCUCAGAGAAACGAGGCGGAGGAGGAGAACAGCGCGACCGCCGCCAAUCCUGAAGAUGCAGCCGCUAAAUCCGCCGGGCAAAAUGGCCGCCGGAGGAGAGGGAGGAGUCUGCGAGCGACGGCGCACCAGAGGCCAUGGAGGAGGAGAAGGCCGGCUCAAGUCCCGUGGAGGAGGCGAGGCCCAGCCCGGACCCCAGCGCCCCGUCGUCCCCGUCCCGCAGCCCGACGGAGGACAGCUGCAUGGACGUCCACAGCGCGGCACCAGCUCCGGAGACGACGAGCCGGGGAGGGACCUGAGCGAGCCCGCCCAGGAGGAGAGCGCCGAGCCCGGGCAGGAGCUCAUGGACGAGGGGGGUCUGCCGGACGUACGACCCACUGUCCUGUCCUCGCCCGACGGAGAGGUGGAGGCCAGCCGCUCGUCUCAGGACAUUGGAUUCUGGGACAGUGAAGAGUGCGAGGAGCGAGACGAUGUCACCGUGGAAGAUCUGAUCAAGCAGAACAGAGUCUACGACGAGGAGGAGGAGGACGAAGAGGAGGAGUGUGCGUGAGCGUGGCUUUACAACGUGAAACCACGAACAUCUGCAGGAGUCCGUGAUGUUAAUUCACCAUUGCAGCUUUGACCAGAUUAGAUUGAGAUUUUCCUCACCAUUUCUCUACCAAAUCGCACUUGGACAAUGUGGAUUUUAAGCCUUUUUUUGCAUCAAAUCCUAAAAAAGAUCUGCCAGGUUUGUCCAAAAAUUGCUCUUAAAUUCAGAAGCAAAAAACCUGACUCCACUUUGGGAUCAUUUUGCUUGAAAUUACAAACUCACAACCAGGCAGGAGUUUGACCAGCUAAAUCUAACAAAGUUGAUGUAGAAUUAAAUCUGGACUCCUGUACGCUGCAGUAUUUUGGUGCCUCUCGGCUCAUUCAAAGCCAUUCCUUCCGAUCUCACUUUAGUCAGAAAAAGCUUUGUUCAAAAAUGUCUUCCAAAGCAUUUCACAACACAUUUCAGUUCUCUAGGGAAAGUCUCGCGCUUUUGGCCCACAUUUUUUAUCUGCUAUAUUUUUGUGGACAAAGCGUUUCGUCUCGUCUUUGACCAUGUCUUAAACAUUCCAGAUUAUCGUGUAAAACCGUGUUUUAUUGUAACGGUCACAACUGGACGUUUUACCAGUGAAUGUUUUUAUUGUGGGAUUAAAUAUGAAAUAAAUUGAAUAUAAAAAUGCAAC